UGCACGUGGUUGCAGAAAGUGAAGGAUUGUC
Molecule: non-coding RNA, 31 nt
Filed under: Homo sapiens (human)
Lineage: Eukaryota; Metazoa; Chordata; Mammalia; Primates; Hominidae
Source: RNAcentral